Molecule: long non-coding RNA, 451 nt
Organism: Lycium ferocissimum
Lineage: Eukaryota; Viridiplantae; Streptophyta; Magnoliopsida; Solanales; Solanaceae
Exons: 2
Source: RefSeq, a predicted model, not a curated record
UCUUCUUUAAUUUUUUUUUAUUUUAACAAAAAACAUUUGAAAAUUGUUACGGUUCUUGAACAAGCUUUGAUUUCGUUUUAGUGGCGGAGUUGUUGUUGUUGGUGACGAUGACGAUGAAGGAUAACAUCGGCGGUUGUUGGUGACGGCGAUGUUUUCGUAGAUCUGGUGAUGUCGGUGUCAGAUCUGGACGGAAACAGUCACAUCUAGCCAAAGUUGUUGUAUUCACGAAUACGGCGAUUGUAUUCACUUUUUUGAGUUUUUUUUGUUAAAUUUUCCGAUAGUAUUCAUUUUUUAGCGUGUAUUUGUUAGCAUAAGCGUUGGUUGUUGUUGUUGUUGUGAAAUUUUCGUUAGAUCUGGCAAGAACUAGUGGUUGGUGUUGUUGUAUUCAUGAAUAAGACAAUUGUAUUCACUUUUUUGAGUUUUUUUUUGUUAAUAUUUUAGAUUGUAUUCA